This 766-nucleotide ribosomal RNA is filed under the name uncultured Prochlorococcus sp. RNAcentral's name for it is "bacterial SSU rRNA". It matches the Rfam family "Bacterial small subunit ribosomal RNA", at positions 58 to 870 of the family's 1533-position model. Lineage: Bacteria; Bacillati; Cyanobacteriota; Cyanophyceae; Synechococcales; Prochlorococcaceae. The record is from RNAcentral.
CAAGUCGAACGAACCUUCGGGUUAGUGGCGGACGGGUGAGUAACGCGUGGGAAUCUGCCCUCAGGAGGGGGAUAAAGGUUGGAAACGACCGCUAAUACCCCAUAUGCCGAGAGGUGAAAUGAAUUUCGCCUGAGGAUGAGCCCGCGUCUGAUUAGCCUGUUGGUGAGGUAAUGGCUCACCAAGGCUUCGAUCAGUAGCUGGUCUGAGAGGAUGAUCAGCCACACUGGGACUGAGACACGGCCCAGACUCCUACGGGAGGCAGCAGUGGGGAAUUUUCCGCAAUGGGCGAAAGCCUGACGGAGCAACGCCGCGUGAGGGACGAAGGCCUCUGGGCUGUAAACCUCUUUUCUCAAGGAAGAAGAUAAGACGGUACUUGAGGAAUAAGCCACGGCUAAUUCCGUGCCAGCAGCCGCGGUAAUACGGGAGUGGCAAGCGUUAUCCGGAAUUAUUGGGCGUAAAGCGUCCGCAGGCGGCCCUUCAAGUCUGCUGUUAAAGCGUGGAGCUUAACUCCAUCAUGGCAGUGGAAACUGAUUGGCUUGAGUAUGGUAGGGGCAGAGGGAAUUCCCGGUGUAGCGGUGAAAUGCGUAGAUAUCGGGAAGAACACCAGUGGCGAAGGCGCUCUGCUGGGCCAUUACUGACGCUCAUGGACGAAAGCCAGGGGAGCGAAAGGGAUUAGAUACCCCUGUAGUCCUGGCCGUAAACGAUGAACACUAGGUGUCGGGGGAAUCGACCCCUUCGGUGUCGUAGCUAACGCGUUAAGUGUUCC